Molecule: ribosomal RNA, 253 nt
Filed under: uncultured bacterium
Lineage: Bacteria
Description: partial 16S ribosomal RNA
Rfam family: Bacterial small subunit ribosomal RNA
Source: RNAcentral
UACGGAGGGUGCAAGCGUUAUCCGGAUUCACUGGGGUUAAAGGGUGCGUAGGUGGGCAGGUAAGUCAGUGGUGAAAUCUCCGGGCUUAACCCGGAAACUGCCAUUGAUACUAUCUGUCUUGAAUACCGUGGAGGUGAGCGGAAUAUGUCAUGUAGCGGUGAAAUGCUUAGAUAUGACAUAGAACACCAAUUGCGAAGGCAGCUCACUACACGAAUAUUGACACUGAGGUGCGAAAGCGUGGGGAGCAAACAGG